GGCAGACGGGUGAGUAACGCGUGGGAACGUGCCCUUCGGUUCGGAAUAACCCAGGGAAACUUGGGCUAAUACCGGAUACGUCCGCAAGGAGAAAGAUUUAUCGCCGAAGGAUCGGCCCGCGUCCGAUUAGCUUGUUGGUGAGGUAACGGCUCACCAAGGCUACGAUCGGUAGCUGGUCUGAGAGGAUGAUCAGCCACACUGGGACUGAGACACGGCCCAGACUCCUACGGGAGGCAGCAGUGGGGAAUAUUGGACAAUGGGCGCAAGCCUGAUCCAGCCAUGCCGCGUGAGUGAUGAAGGCCCUAGGGUUGUAAAGCUCUUUCGGCGGGGAAGAUAAUGACGGUACCCGCAGAAGAAGCCCCGGCUAACUUCGUGCCAGCCGCCGCGG
Molecule: ribosomal RNA, 388 nt
Filed under: uncultured bacterium
Lineage: Bacteria
Description: bacterial SSU rRNA
Rfam family: Bacterial small subunit ribosomal RNA
Source: RNAcentral